AGAAUUUGAUCCUGGCUCAGAACAAAACGCUGGCGGCAUGCCUAACACAUGCAAGUCGAACGAACCCUUCGGGGUUAGUGGCGCACGGGUGCGUAACGCGUGGGAACCUGCCUUUUGGUUCGGAAUAACAGUGAGGAAUUACUGCUAAUACCGGAUGAUGUCUUCGGACCAAAGAUUUAUCGCCAUUAGAUGGGCCCGCGUAGGAUUAGGUAGUUGGUGGGGUAAAGGCCUACCAAGCCGACGAUCCUUAGCUGGUCUUAGAGGAUGAUCAGCCAUACUGGGACUGAGACACGGCCCAGACUCCUACGGGAGGCAGCAGUGGGGAAUAUUGGACAAUGGGCGAAAGCCUGAUCCAGCAAUGCCGCGUGAGUGAUGAAGGCCUUAGGGUUGUAAAGCUCUUUUACCCGGGAUGAUAAUGACAGUACCGGGAGAAUAAGCCCCGGCUAACUCCGUG
This 454-nucleotide ribosomal RNA is filed under the name uncultured Novosphingobium sp. RNAcentral's name for it is "bacterial SSU rRNA". It matches the Rfam family "Bacterial small subunit ribosomal RNA", at positions 8 to 507 of the family's 1533-position model. The record is from RNAcentral. Lineage: Bacteria; Pseudomonadati; Pseudomonadota; Alphaproteobacteria; Sphingomonadales; Sphingomonadaceae.